Molecule: long non-coding RNA, 1178 nt
Filed under: Pandoravirus salinus
Description: putative ncRNA
Source: RNAcentral
CGCACGCCACAAGAUAUCUACAUCGGCCGUGCAGUCGACGCUCGCCAGCCAGUCGAGCAUUUCCACGUCGCCCCGGUCGAUAGCCAGUAGGCAGGCCUCGGUACCGAGAUGAAUGUGCCCUGAUGCGUAAAGCCGCGAAACGAGCGACAGCGAAAGACCGGCGCUGCUGCACCGUCGCAGAGCGGCGACGCGCACGGGCACGAUACCCGCAUCCAGGCAAACCCGCACCGUACGGUCGGCGCCAUAAAAGAUCGCACGAUCGACGGCCGACGGGAGCCACUGGGUGGCGCCGUGAUCGAGUGCAUACUUGAUGAUGUCGGCGUGGUCAUGAGCGCCAGCGCUCCUCAUCCGCUUUUCCUUGUCCCACGGGAGUGCGCCGACGCGAGAGGCCCAGGCGAUGACGGGCAUCGGAGGAGGGUACGUCCAGUGGCCGUGAGAAAAUACCAGCGGCGCAAUGUCUCGUGCCGCAUAGCCGAGGCCCUCUACGAGCCAAUCGAGCACGUCGACGUGACCGGCCAGGCCGGCAGCGUAGACGAUCGAGUGCAGGUCGGAUGCGUUCCAGUGCCUCUGGUGGGCGUGCGCCCAUGCGAGUCCCUCGACGUCUCCCGUCUCUGCGAGUGCCGUCCACAAUGCGGGGCCGGCAACGCCGUCGGCAUGUGCCUCGUAGAGGACCGCACGGCAUCCGCGCCCAAUGGCCAGGCUGGCCGAGAGAGAGGUCCACCGACAGCCGCGAUCGCGCAGCCAGACAACCCACUCUGCGUCGAAAAGAUCGGCACCGGCGACGGCCCCCAACAGGCAGUUCCUAUAAUGGAGGUCCUUCGCACAAAAUUGAAGCGCGCCGAUCAACCACAUGGCCCACUGUCGCCGGCCGGUGCGAAUCGCGUCGACGACCUCCUGGAAGAGCGCCCCCGGUUGGCGACGCGUGGCCUCGCGGGUCCAACAAUAACGUCGCCCUAGGACGAUCUGCCGUCGCCACGACCGACAAACCCAAAAGGCCGCGAGACGAUCGCGGCGGUCGGUAAAGGCCACGAGAAUGUAGCGCAACAAUUCGACGGGCAGGUCGCCGAUGGCGGGGGAUUCGCAUUGCAUGAUCGGACUUGGCGCGUGGUCCGUAAAAGAGGUAUGCUUCCGGCGGCACGACGGACGUACCGCCUUCCCGUGUCUCCCUCUGUGCUACC